UUUCCUACGGGAGGCAGCAGUGGGGAAUAUUCCGCAAUGGGCGCAAGCCUGACGGAGCAACGCCGCGUGAAUGAAGAAGGUUUUCGGAUUGUAAAGUUCUGUCAUUAGGGACGAAGGACCUGUGCGAAUAGUGCAGGGGAUGACGGUACCUAAGGAGGAAGCUCCGGCUAACUACGUGCCAGCAGCCGCGGUAAUACGUAGGGAGCAAGCGUUGUCCGGAAUUACUGGGCGUAAAGGGCGCGUAGGCGGAUUGUUAAGUCAGAUGUGAAAUCUCCGGGCUCAACCCGGAGCGUGCAUUUGAAACU
This 305-nucleotide ribosomal RNA is filed under the name uncultured bacterium. RNAcentral describes it as "bacterial SSU rRNA". It matches the Rfam family "Bacterial small subunit ribosomal RNA", at positions 335 to 634 of the family's 1533-position model. The record is from RNAcentral.